GUCCUGACGCUCCGCAGGGACCCCUGACUGGACGGCGGCGCGUGAGCGGAGCGAGAGGCCUCGCCGCGGGGGGGCCGCGGGCUCGCCGGCGCCGCUUACCUGGGGCCGCGCCGGGCCUGCUUAGGCACCCGGCGGGGGCGGCGGCGUCGGGAGCUGCGGCGGCGGCGGGCGGCGGCGGCGGCCGCGGGCUUCGCUCCUUGUUGGGGAUUCGGCGGCGGCGGCGGCGCGGGCGCGCGCUUCCUAGUGACGCAGGCGGCGGGGCCGCGCACGCACGGGGCUGGGAGGGCCGGACACUUAUUUGGCGCUCGCGGAGGAGGAAGGCGGGGCCGUGAAAUAAGGCCCGACGGGCCCCGGGGCGCGUGCGCGGACCGACACUGUCAGCUCCUAACGCCGCAGGUUCCUCCUGGUCCCCGAGGCCCCCGGUCGGGCGUUGCCUGCCCCGCGCGGGCGGCCGGGCCGAGGGACGAUGGUCAGUGGACGGACGGCGCCAGGGAGCAGUGCCCACGCGCGGCAGGGCGGUACCUUCAGGCCUCCAGGUACGGGCGCUCCUCGCCCGGACGCUGCUGUGUGUGAAUGGGCGCGAGGGGACUCCCCUGCGGGGCGGACGCCUGAACACGAGGCUGUGGAGGAGGACGCUGUAGGGUGCGCGGACUCACGCGGAACAUGCCAGAGGCUCAGCCAGCCACGGCGCUCCCAGCGUGGAGGGCGAGGGGCAUCCGGGAGCGGCCGGGAGGGCUCGGUCACCCCUCAAGCUGUCACCCCAGUCCCACAACCAGCACCCCGAUCCUAUCGCAGUCCCACAGCCGACACCCCGAUCCCACCCCUGCCCAACAGCCGGCACCCACCCCAAUCCCAUAGCUAACACCCCGGUCCCACCGCUGUCCCACGGCCGGCACCCCGAUCCCACCCCAGUCCCGCAGCUGGCACCCCGAUCCCACCCCAGCCCAACAGCUGGCACCCACCCCGAUCCCACCGCUGUCCCACAGCCGGCACCCCGAUCCCACCCCAGUCCCGCAGCCGGCACCCCGAUCCCACAGCCGGCACUCACCCCGAUCGCAUAGCAUAGCUGAUACCCCGAUCCCACCCCAGUCCCAUAGCCAGCACCCCGAUCCCACCCCAGUCCCAUAGCCAGCACCUCGAUCCCAUAGAUGACACCCCGAUCCCGCCCCAGUCCUAUAGCCCGCACCCCGAUCCCACCCGAGUCCCGCAGCCGGCACCCCAUCCCACCCAUGUCCCACAGUCGGCACCCCGAUCCCACUCGGAUCCGGCAGCCAGCUUGGAUCCUGUGGCCCUCCUCCAGCCCCCAGGGCUCAUUUAUAUGUUUUAUUGGCAGAGGCUGGGGCUGGCUCUGUUGGCCUCUGUGCUGGGUUUCUUCCUCUGCACCGCAGGACUGGCUCUCCUGACCUCUCCAGGUGUCAUCGAACACCCUUGUGCUUGCUGUCACCCGCUGCCUGUCUGCAGGAUCCCGGAUUCCGUAUCAGGGGACCGAAAUUAGUCGGAAAAUAGGAAGCAGGUGCUCGCUUGGAUGGAACCCUGACCCUGUGCUCACACUUGUAGGAGGAGGGCUCUGCAGGCCGCCUCCCGGAACGGGAGGUUCCCAAGCCACUGCACUUCGGAGGGGCUGUAAUUAGAGUUGCACAUUCAUUCAGUUCCCAGUAAAGUAGAACGUGCUC
This 1673-nucleotide long non-coding RNA is filed under the name Homo sapiens (human). Its description in RNAcentral is "HSALNT0402476". The record is from RNAcentral. Lineage: Eukaryota; Metazoa; Chordata; Mammalia; Primates; Hominidae.